GACGAACGCUGGCGGCGUGCCUAAUACAUGCAAGUAGAACGCUGAAGAGAGGAGCUUACUCUUCUUGGAUGAGUUGCGAACGGGUGAGUAACGCGUAGGUAACCUGCCUUGUAGCGGGGGAUAACUAUUGGAAACGAUAGCUAAUACCGCAUAACAAUGGAUGACACAUGUCAUUUAUUUGAAAGGGGCAAUUGCUCCACUACAAGAUGGACCUGCGUUGUAUUAGCUAGUAGGUGAGGUAAUGGCUCACCUAGGCGACGAUACAUAGCCGACCUGAGAGGGUGAUCGGCCACACUGGGACUGAGACACGGCCCAGACUCCUACGGGAGGCAGCAGUAGGGAAUCUUCGGCAAUGGGGGCAACCCUGACCGAGCAACGCCGCGUGAGUGAAGAAGGUUUUCGGAUCGUAAAGCUCUGUUGUAAGUCAAGAACGGGUGUGAGAGUGGAAAGUUCACAAUGUGACGGUAGCUUACCAGAAAGGGACGGCUAACUACGUG
Molecule: ribosomal RNA, 497 nt
Filed under: uncultured bacterium
Lineage: Bacteria
Description: partial 16S ribosomal RNA
Rfam family: Bacterial small subunit ribosomal RNA
Source: RNAcentral